This 236-nucleotide ribosomal RNA is filed under the name uncultured bacterium. RNAcentral's name for it is "partial 16S ribosomal RNA". It matches the Rfam family "Bacterial small subunit ribosomal RNA", at positions 30 to 257 of the family's 1533-position model. The record is from RNAcentral.
AUUGAACGCUGGCGGCAGGCUUAACACAUGCAAGUCGAACGGUAACAGGGGGUAGCUUGCUACUUUGCUGACGAGUGGCGGACGGGUGAGUAAGGUAUGGGGAAUUUGCCGAAUGGAGGGGGACAACAGUUGGAAACGGCUGCUAAUACCGCAUAACGUCGCGAGACCAAAGGGUGGGACUUUCGGGCCACCUGCCAUUUUGAUGAGCCCCAUAUGAGAUUAGCUAGUUGGUGUGG